This 121-nucleotide small RNA is filed under the name unclassified sequences. RNAcentral describes it as "LOOT RNA". It matches the Rfam family "LOOT RNA". From Rfam's summary of the family: Latescibacteria, OD1/Parcubacteria, OP11, TM7. Lineage (Microgenomates, aka OP11) The record is from Rfam by way of RNAcentral.
AGCCUAAACCAGUAGCAAUACUGGCAUGGUGAAAGUCAGUCAGGUAAUGCACAGAGAACCCGUCAUAUGGGGUCGCAUUACCUGCCGUAUCAGGAAACUGGUACGAGUGGCUUCGGCUACU